RNAcentral lists this ribosomal RNA (764 nucleotides) under Halomonas sp. Its description in RNAcentral is "bacterial SSU rRNA". It matches the Rfam family "Bacterial small subunit ribosomal RNA", at positions 37 to 797 of the family's 1533-position model. Lineage: Bacteria; Pseudomonadati; Pseudomonadota; Gammaproteobacteria; Oceanospirillales; Halomonadaceae. The record is from RNAcentral.
UGGAUGCGGGCAGCUACCAUGCAGUCGAGCGGUAACAGAUCCAGCUUGCUGGAUGCUGACGAGCGGCGGACGGGUGAGUAAUGCAUAGGAAUCUGCCCGAUAGUGGGGGAUAACCUGGGGAAACCCAGGCUAAUACCGCAUACGUCCUACGGGAGAAAGGGGGCUUCGGCUCCCGCUAUCGGAUGAGCCUAUGUCGGAUUAGCUAGUUGGUGAGGUAACGGCUCACCAAGGCGACGAUCCGUAGCUGGUCUGAGAGGAUGAUCAGCCACAUCGGGACUGAGACACGGCCCGAACUCCUACGGGAGGCAGCAGUGGGGAAUAUUGGACAAUGGGGGGAACCCUGAUCCAGCCAUGCCGCGUGUGUGAAGAAGGCCCUCGGGUUGUAAAGCACUUUCAGCGAGGAAGAACGCCUAGCGGUUAAUACCCGCUAGGAAAGACAUCACUCGCAGAAGAAGCACCGGCUAACUCCGUGCCAGCAGCCGCGGUAAUACGGAGGGUGCAAGCGUUAAUCGGAAUUACUGGGCGUAAAGCGCGCGUAGGUGGCUUGAUAAGCCGGUUGUGAAAGCCCCGGGCUCAACCUGGGAACGGCAUCCGGAACUGUCAAGCUAGAGUGCAGGAGAGGAAGGUAGAAUUCCCGGUGUAGCGGUGAAAUGCGUAGAGAUCGGGAGGAAUACCAGUGGCGAAGGCGGCCUUCUGGACUGACACUGACACUGAGGUGCGAAAGCGUGGGUAGCAAACAGGAUUAGAUACCCUUGGUUAGUCAA